AUAGGAAUAGCAUCAGGGGAGAAAAAGGGGGUGCCUGAACUAGCACACUUCCCCUCUCAUCAUCUUCUUCCAAGAAAAGUCCUUCAGCAGGGUAAGGGAUCAAUCUAGAGCAGUUCCCUAGCCUUCAGGAGGCAUUAAGGAGAUAGCUAAAAACAAGUGAAGAAAGCUUCAAAUUUCAGAAGACCCACAACACCUAGAACCAAGGGCAGAGGUUUAAUCAGCACACUAGGCUCAUUGAAAGCAGCAUUAUAUAGUUCCAUUGCUGAAGGAAGGAUUUUGUGAAUUUUCCAAGGGUAGAAGACCAACACCCAAAUAGAUAUCAGCAGAAGCUAGUGAGGAUCAGAAAACAGUGAGUAGCGUUAGUGUAGAGAAAGUAGAAAUCAGAGAUGUGAAAUGCCACCUUUAUUACAUAUUGCAUUCUCAUAUAUUCUAGAAUAUUCUAGUCCAUUUUAAAAUGGUAGAUUCAAGAGUGAUAACUAUAUUUCUAGAUUUUAUUUUUUCUUUUCCUUUUUAGUGAGUGAAUUAAGAACCUUUGGAAAUAUUUUUUUUUUUUUUAUAGUUUAUCCGAGGUUAGCAUAGGGUGUAGUCUUUUUGAAGUUUCUUUCAAGACCUUGCUUUUUCUUAUUUUGUCUUUGUCCUUGUCAGAUAGGCUUAUAUAUUUAUUCACUCAAUCAGCAAAUACACUGAGUACCUUCCAAAUAGCAAGCAGAUUAUUCUAAGCUGUAAAGUUAGUUUCCACUACAGUUUAUUUUAUUGUAUUUGUUUCAUGUUAACUGAAGGUUACCAUCCAGCCUUUAUACUAGUUGGAGCGUAUGCUUCACAGAAUUCUUACCUACAGAGCGACAUUAAGAUUACAAGAAGAAAGAAACAAAAGUACACAUAAGUACACCCACCCACAAAAAUACAGGAAAUAUUAAUGAUGCCAAAGAAAAUAUUCAGUGGAAUAGUUGAGAAUGUGCUCUGUAAAGCCAUGGCACAUCUCUUCAAAAUCAUUGACUAAAAGAACAUCAUGAGAAAAACAGCAUUGUUUCUUUGUUGGUGCUUCUAACAUCUUUCCUGGGAAUUCAGGUGGAACAGAGAAUCCAAUGAAAUCUGGUGCUUUGCAUCAUUAUUAAGCUCAUAUCUACAAGCUAAUCAUGUGUGAUAAGGCUAAAAUGCAAAAGCAUUUGAAUCAAUAGCUCUUUCAGAUGCUUUUCUGAUAAAAUUGCUUCAUUUUCUUUUCUAGCUAGUUAAUUCAUGUAAGUAGAAAGAUUAAGAGAAAAACUUAUUCAUAUUAAGAGUAACAAGAUCCUAACAGUUUAUUGGACUGUAUUGUUGGCAUCUUUGCAACCAAUAAGGCUUUUUAAUAAUCAGAUCUCAGAAACAUCUGUCUUAGAAAGGGGUAUACUCUCUGGCUUCCAUUUACUUGAAAAGGAAUUAACCUAGGGUCAGGAGUAGAGGUUAGGUUACUUCUACCUGGAAAUUAAUCAGAAAAUUCAUUUUGCCCUUUGAUGUUGCUUGUCUGCACACACACGCCCUCGCUCCCACCUCUACCUUUUAUCUUCUUAAAAUCCUAAAGCUCCCUUUCAUGCGUUGUAGUAGUUUAAAGGAAUUUAAAGUUGUGGAUUUCUAUAUUUAUGUAAUUAUAUACUUAAAAUAUAAUAGGGUAGGGUAAAGUGUUUUUAAAAGAUGUGACACUUUAAAGAAAAUCACAGAUAUCAUAAGUGACUUUAAUAUAUUGGCAAAUUUCAGGCUACAUUCUUAGUCAUAUUUCUGCUAGAAGAAACCUACUUUCCAUUUUGUGUUUUCUCAUUUGCAUUACUGCAAAGUUAUUCAUGCAUAUGAAAAGGGUAUUAUUCAUCUCCAUAUUCCUUUCUCUCCAUAUUCCAAACCCAGUGUGCUUGUGAGUUAUACAUAAACACUGCUGUACCUCUAUAUUUAUGCAUAUGUAUCUAUGUGAUUCAAAUUUGGCAUCACAACUGGAUAGCAAGCCCAAGUGAUAACAUUAUGUACUAGAGGUGUCUUAUCACAUCAUUAAUGACAUAUCAAAAUUGUCAAUUAUGUUGAAAUCCAAUAAUUGUAACUGACAAGCUUUAGCAUGAUUUGUCUCCACUGGGAAGGAUUAUAAAAGAGAGAGAGAGAAAGGAAUGUACUUUUGAAUCCCCCCUCUAAGUGCAUGUAACUGUAUGGUAAGCUCUUAUUAUUUCUACAAAUAAUUUUAGUGAGAUGCUAUUUUCACAUUAUUCAUGGUACCUGGCUAGUGAAGUAUUUAUGUUCCUAAGCCUCAUUAUCUCCUAAAUUCAGAAAUCCAUUGCUAUUUCAGAAAGAACCACAAACUUGAACUGGCAAGAAGAAAAAUGACCAACCUGGCAGGGCUUGUCUCCCUCUAAUGUAUGAUUCUUCUUAACUCCAUAUUCCAGGAAAUUAUUCACUUGGAAGUUUAGAGUUCACGGAAAACAACUAUUUCUCUUCUACUCUCCAGUUCUACUUCUACCCAUUAGAAAAGCAAACAGUAUUGCUUAAUUCCAAAGAAGUUUGCUCUCAAAAAUAUCUUGGCAUUUGGCAAUAAGAGGAAAAGAAAGUGACAAUGAACUUCAUGGACACAGAAUUCAUUCUUUACAGUGACGAGGUAUUCAAGAAUCCUCACUCUUUGUGUCCUGUUUUAUCUGUAUUUGGGGAUGGUAUCUAAGAGGAGAAAAGGGAAGCUUAUGGUUUUUUUUUUUUUCCUUUAAAAUAUAUUUCCAUUUACCAAUGGAUUAUUUUAAGCCCAGAGAAAAUUAUGAUUGCAUUAUUCUUUUCAGUAAUCGUGGCAGGUAUUAAAGUGAACAGACAAUGGUAGCGUAUAUGGAAUAACCUGGUUUUCUAGACAGACCCACUUGUCCGAGAUCAAACGGCUACAGCACAUUUAGGGUUACAGUCUCCUUCCCUUCCUCCUCUUUCUCAACCGCAGUGGAGCUUUUUCCAGUGUUGCCAUGGUAACACUAUAUCUGGCUGCUAGCUCUGUCGUAAGUUAUUGAACUGAGACUGGCUUUUGGUUUAGCAGAUAAUUAGGUUCUGUCUCACAGGUUCAUUUUCCUGUGACUGGGACGUGAAUAUGACCUACAGCUGGCCUCAAUUUCAGUGUCACAGACAAAACUUUAACCCUUCCCAAGCUCCCAAGGUACUCUCUUAAGCCUUGCUUGUGAAGUAGAGGAAGUCCAUUGCAGCCCACAUACACCUUGAAGAGGAUUACCAAGUCCUCAUUUUAUUUUUUUUUUGUCUUCAUGCGAACACCAAGGAAAAUACGAUCAAGACUGUAUACCUAGAGCAUUUUCAAAAUUUAAAAUAUAUCAACAAUAAUGUAUAUGUGCUUAUGUAUUUAACAUGUAACAUAUAGAACUUUCUCUAGGUGUUUUCAUUUCCCUGCUUCUUCAAUAAUUUUUUAAGUCACGUCAAAGUGUCUUGUACUGCAUUUUGGUUUGGAUUCCAGAGCAUUUAGAUUUGAAAACCCCGUUAUCAGAAUAUUAACUUGCUACCCUUAUUCUCAGCUUCCAGAACUUUCUGCCCGUUGAUUCAUGCCCCUCCUUCUCCUUUUUAUAAGCCCUAGAUUUUUGCUGACAUUGAAAGGUUCCUUUGGAGUCCCAGGCAGGUCUCUGCUACAGGAAACAAUGCCACCACUCUAUGAAAUGCCCAAAUGAUCACUCAGGGCUUAAAACUUGCUGAUUUGGAAAAUCAGCAAAGCUCUGCCCUUUGUUUAGGACAAAGAAAGAAGACUAACUUUUAGAACAAAUAUUGAUUUCACAAUCCCACAGCAACAGAGAGCCUGCAUGGUUAAUAUGAGAGGGCAUGUCUUUCUAUGUCAAACAAUAGGAAAGACCUUCAAGGAAAUCUGUUUGAAAAAUUUAGUGUAUUUUACCUAAAAGCUUCCCAUGAAAAGGUAAGACAGGAACAAGGGAAGUUGAGUUCACCAUCAUUAAAACAUGAAUUAAGUUUCUCCAUUGGCUAGAGAAUCACAUAACUAUGUCAAGAGAGAUAGGAAAGACCUACAGCACGUUGAAGACUCAAGGGUUGGAAGCUGGAGCUAGGAUUGUGUGUGUGUGUGUGUGUGUGUGUGUGUGUGUGUGUGUUCGCGCGCGCGCAUGUGCGUGCCCAUGUAUACCACAUAGACUAUAUUGUUUUAAUCCAUUCCUUCCAUCCUCAAACUCUAACUUGGAAGAGCAUCUUGAAUGGCAGCAGCCUCAAGUCCUGGUAUCCUCUGCUCAUUCUCUUCAAUCCAUAGAGUUUUCUACACUUCUGUAAAAGGUAUGACUUAGUGUUUGGUCUGUGAUAUAAGGUAAGAAGGAGAUUAUUCCUUUUAACUUUCUAGCUCAUCUUAAUCUUUUUUUCUUUAUGUUUCUAUUAGCACAUAAGUCAAAUAUAUUGGUUUUUGUGGUGGUUAUCCUGCUCUGCUUCUUGACAGCCCUUUGCUCUAGAAGACUCAUUUUGACAAUGGAAUACCUCAAACUCACCCCUGGUCAGAAUUCCUCUCACCCCCCAAAUAUUACUGAAUAAAGUAAAUUU
RNAcentral lists this long non-coding RNA (4518 nucleotides) under Sus scrofa (pig). RNAcentral describes it as "lncRNA (ENSSSCG00040000775.1)". The record is from RNAcentral. Lineage: Eukaryota; Metazoa; Chordata; Mammalia; Artiodactyla; Suidae.